Molecule: long non-coding RNA, 340 nt
Organism: Triticum urartu
Lineage: Eukaryota; Viridiplantae; Streptophyta; Magnoliopsida; Poales; Poaceae
Source: RefSeq, a predicted model, not a curated record
CAGCCACCUCGGAGACUCGGGAAUGAAGGGAAGACCCACAAGGAGGAACGCACAAGGCACUAAUCCUGCACAAACAUGCAAAUGUUGUGCUGAUUUUUCUUGGACAAUGGUCAUGCCAUUCCAUAUGCAGCUCUCUCCAACCUGGUUUGAGGCUGCAAGGCCUCCUCGGAGAUCCUUUGGUGCUAUUUCAGAUAUGAACACAGCAUGAAAAGUCGGGUGCAUGUUGAGAGUUAAGAGGGAGAUGCUCACCACAUAAGAAAGGACCCCUGUACAGUAGCCCAGCAAGACUCGUCCCAAGCAGAGCAUCGCUGCACCCUUCAUGUCAUGAAGGCAGUUUUUC